GGGACUUUCUGGUUAGCAUCAAAAUCAUUGACGUAAAAGAGUUUUCUGUUCCGUUACUACAGUCGCCGUUGGUGGUGCUUUAUCGAUGGCGUCGGAGGAUGUGGAGACGACGGAAUCGGCGGCGGUUUCGACGAUUCGUUAAUUUGGCGGAGGAAUCGAAUCGAAUUGGGCAAAGAGGCUGUCAAAUCUCCGAGCCACGCCAUCAUCUGCAAGUCUCUAAUCGCCAACGGAGUCGUUGCUGGUGGAGUGUAAGUCUUCACUCUUCACUCGUUUUGUAAAUUUUUGUUAUCUUCUGGUGGAAAUCAGGGAAAAAAAAAACACGAAAGAAUAGAUUGAUACAGUGAUUCUUAUAAUUCCAUUUGUCGUUGAGGGAUGUUUUAGGCAGAGAUCAUAUCCUUUUAGAUCCAUGGAGCAUCUCUGAUUUAUUUCCACCCAUUGCAAAAUGAGGUGCUCAAAGGACGUUUUAGGUGUCGAUUUUACAAUAUCACACUGAAGCUUGAAUAAAUUUCAAUACGACAUUCCUUCUUGUUUUGUAGCAAAGAGAAGUAAAUUAAGCAUAAUUUAUGCUCUUCUGCAUUGCUAGAGGACGAAGAUAGCAAAGCUUUUUUGUUUGGUUGUCUCUUUAUUUCUGCUACUGAAUCAAUAAGUCUUAGCUUCAACGUAUAUGAGCCUAUUAGCUGUAGGAACUCGGAUAGAGAAUUAUCAUUUUGGAGAACUUAUACUCACUGAGAGUGUGUAUGUGUGUGUCACAACAAAUGUUAGUAUUCUUUUUGACUCAUACAGCAUGUUGAAUCUCUUUUUUUUUGUUCUGUAAGUCUAGGAAAGCUCAGAGUCAGAGACAUGACCAGAGUUUGAUCGCCGUAUCUUUGGGCUCAUCAAUAUCAGUUGACUCUCAGAGUGCGUUCUCAUGCUUUGCCCACAAGGGCUCAGUGGGGGAUGCCUUGAUCGUCCUCCUCUGGGGGUUCCUGGACAGAGAACAAGUGCAAGAGACUUCCUUAGUACAAGUAAAAAUGUUCAAAAUACAUAGUAGAGUAGAGCCUCCAUAUAUAUAUAUAUAUAUAUAUAUUGACUGAUGAUAAUCACAUUCACACCUGGUUUUUGAAUUGGUUUCAGGCCAGAAGCUCUUUUCAAAAGCUUUGAAACAGGCUUCUUUGAGCAUGAAAGCCUCCUUUCCUUCUCAGAUGACACCUGCUCAUCUGAUCCAGCCCCACCCUCAUCCUCGCUACACGAAGCCCAUUCACUGCCCGAUUCAGAUGUGUCUC
Molecule: long non-coding RNA, 1262 nt
Filed under: Eutrema salsugineum
Lineage: Eukaryota; Viridiplantae; Streptophyta; Magnoliopsida; Brassicales; Brassicaceae
Description: long non-coding RNA (ESAL_LNC000673)
Source: RNAcentral